This 626-nucleotide ribosomal RNA is filed under the name uncultured bacterium. RNAcentral's name for it is "bacterial SSU rRNA". It matches the Rfam family "Bacterial small subunit ribosomal RNA", at positions 249 to 885 of the family's 1533-position model. The record is from RNAcentral.
UUGGUGGGGUAACGGCCUACCAAGGCGACGACGGGUAGCCGGCCUGAGAGGGCGACCGGCCACACUGGGACUGAGACACGGCCCAGACUCCUACGGGAGGCAGCAGUGGGGAAUAUUGCGCAAUGGGCGGAAGCCUGACGCAGCGACGCCGCGUGAGGGAUGACGGCCUUCGGGUUGUAAACCUCUUUCAGCAGGGACGAAGCGCAAGUGACGGUACCUGCAGAAGAAGCACCGGCCAACUACGUGCCAGCAGCCGCGGUAAUACGUAGGGUGCAAGCGUUGUCCGGAAUUAUUGGGCGUAAAGAGCUCGUAGGCGGCUUGUCACGUCGACUGUGAAAACCCGGGGCUCAACUCCGGGCCUGCAGUCGAUACGGGCUGGCUUGAGUGCGGUAGGGGAGACUGGAAUUCCUGGUGUAGCGGUGAAAUGCGCAGAUAUCAGGAGGAACACCGGUGGCGAAGGCGGGUCUCUGGGCCGUAACUGACGCUGAGGAGCGAAAGCGUGGGGAGCGAACAGGAUUAGAUACCCUGGUAGUCCACGCCGUAAACGUUGGGCGCUAGGUGUGGGGACCUAUCCACGGUCUCCGUGCCGCAGCUAACGCAUUAAGCGCCCCGCCUGGGGAGUACGG